AGCGAACGCUGGCGGCAGGCCUAACACAUGCAAGUCGAACGAACUCUUCGGAGUUAGUGGCGGACGGGUGAGUAACACGUGGGAACGUGCCUUUAGGUUCGGAAUAACUCAGGGAAACUUGUGCUAAUACCGAAUGUGCCCUUCGGGGGAAAGAUUUAUCGCCUUUAGAGCGGCCCGCGUCUGAUUAGCUAGUUGUUGAGGUAAAGGCUCACCAAGGCGACGAUCAGUAGCUGGUCUGAGAGGAUGAUCAGCCACAUUGGGACUGAGACACGGCCCAAACUCCUACGGGAGGCAGCAGUGGGGAAUCUUGCGCAAUGGGCGAAAGCCUGACGCAGCCAUGCCGCGUGAAUGAUGAAGGUCUUAGGAUUGUAAAAUUCUUUCACCGGGGACGAUAAUGACGGUACCCGGAGAAGAAGCCCCGGCUAACUUCGUG
This 433-nucleotide ribosomal RNA is filed under the name uncultured bacterium. RNAcentral's name for it is "partial 16S ribosomal RNA". It matches the Rfam family "Bacterial small subunit ribosomal RNA", at positions 29 to 507 of the family's 1533-position model. The record is from RNAcentral.